Molecule: ribosomal RNA, 1472 nt
Filed under: Halosimplex carlsbadense
Lineage: Archaea; Methanobacteriati; Methanobacteriota; Halobacteria; Halobacteriales; Haloarculaceae
Also listed under: 1 other name
Description: bacterial SSU rRNA
Rfam family: Archaeal small subunit ribosomal RNA
Source: RNAcentral
AUUCCGGUUGAUCCUGCCGGAGGCCAUUGCUAUCGGAGUUCGACUUAGCCAUGCUAGUCGCGCGGGUUUAGACCCGCGGCAAAUAGCUCAGUAACACGUGGCCAAACUGCCCUACAGAUCGGAAUAACCUCGGGAAACUGAGGCUAAUGCCGAAUAGGACUUUCAGGUUGGAGUGCCGAGAGUUCGAAACGCUACGGCGCUGUAGGAUGUGGCUGCGGCCGAUUAGGUAGACGGUGGGGUAACGGCCCACCGUGCCGAUAAUCGGUACAGGUUGUGAGAGCAAGAGCCUGGAGACGGAAUCUGAGACAAGAUUCCGGGCCCUACGGGGCGCAGCAGGCGCGAAACCUUUACACUGCACGACAGUGCGAUAGGGGAACUCCGAGUGCGAGGGCAUAGAGCCCUCGCUUUUCCACACCGUAAGGUGGUGCGGGAACAAGUGCUGGGCAAGACCGGUGCCAGCCGCCGCGGUAAUACCGGCAGCACAAGUGAUGGCCGAUUUUAUUGGGCCUAAAGCGUCCGUAGCUGGCCGUGCAAGUCUGUCGGGAAAUCCAGUGGCUCAACCUCUGGGCUUCCGGCGGAAACUGCUCGGCUUGGGACCGGAAGACUCGAGGGGUACGUUCGGGGUAGGAGUGAAAUCCUGUAAUCCUGAACGGACCACCGAUGGCGAAAGCACCUCGAGAGCACGGAUCCGACAGUGAGGGACGAAAGCUAGGGUCUCGAACCGGAUUAGAUACCCGGGUAGUCCUAGCUGUUAACGAUGCCCGCUCGGUUCGGCGCAGGCUACGAGCCUGUGCCGCGCCUCAGUGAAGACGUAAGCGGGCCGCCUGGGAAGUACGUCCGCAAGGAUGAAACUUAAAGGAAUUGGCGGGGGAGCACUACAACCGGAGGAGCCUGCGGUUUAAUUGGACUCAACGCCGGACAUCUCACCAGCACCGACAACGGUAAUGAUGGUCAGGUUGAUGACCUUACCCGACGCCGUUGAGAGGAGGUGCAUGGCCGCCGUCAGCUCGUACCGUGAGGCAUCCUGUUAAGUCAGGCAACGAGCGAGACCCGCGUCCGUAAUUGCCAGCAGCACCCUUGUGGUGGCUGGGUACAUUACGGAGACUGCCACGGCUAACGUGGAGGAAGGAACGGGCAACGGUAGGUCAGCAUGCCCCGAAUGUGCUGGGCAACACGCGGGCUACAAUGGCCUGGACAGUGGGUUGCAACACCGAGAGGUGGCGCUAAUCCCCUAAACCGGGUCGUAGUUCGGAUUGAGGACUGAAACUCGUCCUCAUGAAGCUGGAUUCGGUAGUAAUCGCGUGUCAGAAGCGCGCGGUGAAUACGUCCCUGCUCCUUGCACACACCGCCCGUCAAAUCACCCGAGUGGGGUCCGGAUGAGGCCAUCAUGCGAUGGUCGAAUCUGGGCUCCGCAAGGGGGAUUAAGUCGUAACAAGGUAGCCGUAGAGGAAUCUGCGGCUGGAUCACCUCCU